Molecule: microRNA precursor, 150 nt
Filed under: Glycine max (soybean)
Lineage: Eukaryota; Viridiplantae; Streptophyta; Magnoliopsida; Fabales; Fabaceae
Description: miR10424d stem-loop (gma-MIR10424d)
Source: miRBase by way of RNAcentral
ACUUAUUUUUAACCCCUAAUAAAUUAGCAAAUUUUGUGUUUGCUCCAUGAUAAAUAUUUCCCAUUUUUUAAUAGAAACUCAAAUAAAAUUUGUUAAUUUAUUAGGAAGCAAACACAAAAUUUUCUAAUUUAUUAGGGACUAAAACAAAAU